This 250-nucleotide ribosomal RNA is filed under the name uncultured prokaryote. RNAcentral's name for it is "partial 16S ribosomal RNA". It matches the Rfam family "Bacterial small subunit ribosomal RNA", at positions 524 to 773 of the family's 1533-position model. The record is from RNAcentral.
UACGUAGGGGGCAAGCGUUAUCCGGAUUUACCGGGUGUAAAGGGAGCGUAGACGGUGAGGCAAGUCUGAAGUGAAAUGCAUGGGCUCAACCCAUGAACCGCUUUGGAAACUGUCUGACUAGAGUGCAGGAGAGGUAAGUGGAAUUCCUAGUGUAGCGGUGAAAUGCGUAGAUAUUAGGAGGAACACCGGUGGCGAAGGCGGCUUACUGGACUGUAACUGACGUUGAGGCUCGAAAGCGUGGGGAGCAAAC